AGCGAACGCUGGCGGCAGGCCUAACACAUGCAAGUCGAACGAACCUUUCGGGGUUAGUGGCGGACGGGUGAGUAACACGUGGGAACGUGCCUUUAGGUUCGGAAUGACUCAGGGAAACUUGUGCUAAUACCGAAUGUGCCCUUCGGGGGAAAGAUUAAUCGCCUUUAGAGCGGCCCGCGUCUGAUUAGCUAGUUGGUUGAGGUAAUGGCUCACCAAGGCGACGAUCAGUAGCUGGUCUGAGAGGAUGAUCAGCCACAUUGGGACUGAGACACGGCCCAAACUCCUACGGGAGGCAGCAGUGGGGAAUCUUGCGCAAUGGGCGAAAGCCUGACGCAGCCAUGCCGCGUGAAUGAUGAAGGUCUUAGGAUUGUAAAAUUCUUUCACCGGGGACGAUAAUGACGGUACCCGGAGAAGAAGCCCCGGCUAACUUCGUG
RNAcentral lists this ribosomal RNA (434 nucleotides) under uncultured bacterium. Its description in RNAcentral is "partial 16S ribosomal RNA". It matches the Rfam family "Bacterial small subunit ribosomal RNA", at positions 29 to 507 of the family's 1533-position model. The record is from RNAcentral.